UCCUAUUGAUUCUCCACUACUUUAUUUAUCAAAAUCAAGCUUCUUACAUCACGAUUCUUCCUGGUUUGAUUAGAAUGACAAAGAAGUUGUCAUAUUUCCAAACAGGAAAACUGGGAUCACCUGAUUUGAAAGUGUGAUAGCUUCUUUAUCCUAACUCUUAUGAGAUUUAUUCAACUUCCUGGUAAUUCUCCAGUACUUUAUGGAUUGAGGUUUGUGUGUUCAGUUGUGGACUAACCUUUUGUUUGUGUUGGUAACUCCUAAGGGUACA
RNAcentral lists this long non-coding RNA (268 nucleotides) under Brassica napus (rape). Its description in RNAcentral is "long non-coding RNA (BNAP_LNC018481)". The record is from RNAcentral. Lineage: Eukaryota; Viridiplantae; Streptophyta; Magnoliopsida; Brassicales; Brassicaceae.